GAGUUUGAUCGUGGCUCAGAACGAACGCUGGCGGCAGGCUUAACACAUGCAAGUCGAACGGACGUAGCAAUACGUUAGUGGCGCACGGGUGAGUAACGCGUGGAUAUCUGCCUUUUGGUUCGGGAUAACCUUGGGAAACUAGGGCUAAUACCGAAUGGUUCCUACGGGAUAAAGAUUUAUCGCCAAAAGAUGAGUCCGCGUCCGAUUAGCUAGUUGGCGGGGUAACGGCCCACCAAGGCGACGAUCGGUAGCUGGUCUGAGAGGACGAUCAGCCACACUGGGACUGAGACACGGCCCAGACUCCUACGGGAGGCAGCAGUGGGGAAUAUUGGACAAUGGGGGCAACCCUGAUCCAGCCAUGCCGCGUGAGUGAUGAAGGCCUUCGGUUGUAAGCUCUUUGGUCGGGGACGAUGAUGACGGUACCCGCAGAAUAAGCCCGGCUAACUUCGUGCCAGCAGCCGCCGCGGUAA
RNAcentral lists this ribosomal RNA (470 nucleotides) under uncultured Alphaproteobacteria bacterium. RNAcentral's name for it is "bacterial SSU rRNA". It matches the Rfam family "Bacterial small subunit ribosomal RNA", at positions 9 to 523 of the family's 1533-position model. The record is from RNAcentral. Lineage: Bacteria; Pseudomonadati; Pseudomonadota; Alphaproteobacteria.